RNAcentral lists this ribosomal RNA (497 nucleotides) under uncultured bacterium. RNAcentral's name for it is "partial 16S ribosomal RNA". It matches the Rfam family "Bacterial small subunit ribosomal RNA", at positions 28 to 507 of the family's 1533-position model. The record is from RNAcentral.
GAUGAACGCUGGCGGCGUGCCUAAUACAUGCAAGUCGAGCGAACAGACGAGGAGCUUGCUCCUUUGACGUUAGCGGCGGACGGGUGAGUAACACGUGGGUAACCUAUCUAUAAGACUGGGAUAACUUCGGGAAACCGGAGCUACUACCGGAUAAUAUUUCGAACCGCAUGGUUCGAUAGUGAAAGAUGGCUUUGCUAUCACUUAUAGAUGGACCUGCGCCGUAUUAGCUAGUUGGUAAGGUAACGGCUUACCAAGGCAACGAUACGUAGCCGACCUGAGAGGGUGAUCGGCCACACUGGAACUGAGACACGGUCCAGACUCCUACGGGAGGCAGCAGUAGGGAAUCUUCCGCAAUGGGCGGAAGCCUGACGGAGCAACGCCGCGUGAGUGAUGAAGGUCUUCGGAUCGUAAAACUCUGUUAUUAGGGAAGAACAAACGUGUAAGUAACUGUGCACGUCGUGACGGUACCUAAUCAGAAAGCCACGGCUAACUACGUG